UCAAGUAGUAAAUAAUAAUAUAACACCAUUAAAAUAAAAAUGAAAUAAAUAAUACAAAUAUCCAAAUACCUUAAAAUACAUAAUUCAAAUAAAAAUUCAUACAUGUCCAUAGACUUUCAUUAACUAAAAGUUAACAAACCUAAAACAAACAAUCUGUUGAUGUGUCAUGUAAACUAAACACACCCUCGUUGCCUUUAUUUUCCUCAUUAUUCCAAAAACCUUCAUCAAAAUCAUUACCAUCAAUUCUUCACGACUGCACAUAUAAAGUAAACAUAGAAAUAUGAACUUGCCUAGAGGCAGAGUUUAAGCAAGCAAAACAUAAAGGUGCACAAUAUUUGGACUUACCAGAACAGAAGCAAACCAAUUAAUAGUAAAAGAUAAACACAGAAUACCCAGAUACUUUACUUAAGAUGUAGAGUAAGUCAAGAAUCAAUUCUCUAAUCUUAAAAUAAUUUUUUUGUCUGUUAUCCAUUGCUAACAAUGUAAUUAUAAUAUUGUUUCACAGGCUUAUGUAAUUUUUUUUUAUUCUCAAUAGCACAACUAAAAAUAAACUGGAAAUCAAAAUUUAUAUGUUACUAUGUAAGAAUAUAAACAUGCAUUUUGAUGAAAAAAAUAUGAAGGGAUAUAUAUAUUUGUGAGUGGAGUACAGUUCGAGCAAACUGCAAAGAACUCAUUGAGAAGCUCAGCAAGCAAAAGGAGAGUCGAAUCAUUAUGUGUGUUUUCGGAACAAGGGAUGAAUAAACACAGAGGAUGAAUAAACACAGAGGAUGAAGACAUAAUUAAAAAUAGAGGAACCAACCAAACAAAAACAGAGAGAGCAGAGACAAAAAAAAAAAAGAAGACCAAGGAGAACGAAGAAACCUAGAAGAACGAAGGGACGAUCGAGACAGUCAAAAAUCAAAUAUGCAGGCUACAGAGAGAGUUAUGCAAUUUUCCCCCGUUUCAUUUUCCACAAAUCACAACAUCUAGAUUCUAGAUUAUUAACAUGCUGCAGGAACCCAACACUAAAACUUUCACCAGAAUCACCACCAUUAUUCACAUACCAGACGAGAUAGAAAAAACAAAGCUUGGGAAUAAAUUCUUACCUUCGUCUCGCCAAGAACGCUCCGGAUCUCGAUAGCAAGCAAAACCAGCUGAGAGAGUGGAGACUGGAGACAGCGCUGCUGGUGAGUGGACUCAGUGGAGAGCGGAACCGAAUCAACCGAUUUCUUAAUCUUAAUCUGAUGGAGAGUGGAGAGUGGAAAGGGGAAAGGGGAAAGUGAAAGGGGAAGGGAUGAAGGGUGGACUGUGGAGUGUCGGGUCACGGGUGGGGAGUGGGGAGUGGGCACUGGGAAUUGGGAGAAGGGAGUGAUGAGUCAGCAUAGGCACAACAAUCAACAAUUCAGCAUGACAAGUGACAAACUCUUUUA
Molecule: long non-coding RNA, 1409 nt
Filed under: Populus trichocarpa (black cottonwood)
Lineage: Eukaryota; Viridiplantae; Streptophyta; Magnoliopsida; Malpighiales; Salicaceae
Description: long non-coding RNA (PTRI_LNC004189)
Source: RNAcentral